AGUCCCGUGGUGUAUAUAACACAUUAAAAUGCAAGUUUAAGGAAGAGCCCCAUCAGGCUCCGGGGCUU
This 68-nucleotide transfer RNA is filed under the name Leiocephalus raviceps. RNAcentral describes it as "tRNA-Cys". Lineage: Eukaryota; Metazoa; Chordata; Lepidosauria; Squamata; Leiocephalidae. The record is from RNAcentral.